This is a long non-coding RNA of Aethalodelphis obliquidens (Pacific white-sided dolphin), 326 nucleotides long. RefSeq lists it as uncharacterized. Lineage: Eukaryota; Metazoa; Chordata; Mammalia; Artiodactyla; Delphinidae. The record is from RefSeq and is a predicted model, not a curated record. The transcript is spliced from 3 exons.
CAGGAAGACCCUUUGGUUUAAUCUGAAGUCAGAGUCAUGCAAUAUUCUGGAACACUGGGAAGAUUUUGUCUUGGUCACAUUACCAGAUUCUUUAUCUCCUUAUCUCAACAUAUUCUUUGGUGUAAGUGCUUGGCUCCUUUGGCAAUGUCAUUCGGUGGCUUCUCCCAUCGAAAAGUGGAGGCUCUUGUUCCAUCCCUGAGUCUGGGCUGGCCUGCUGAUUGGAUUUGAUCAAUAGAAUAAGGAGGGACCUGAGUUUCCCAGAGGUCUGUCUGCUGUUCUGGCACCUUGGCUCUGCUGCAGGACGGGUGAAAGUACCUGGUCAGGGG